This 506-nucleotide ribosomal RNA is filed under the name uncultured bacterium. RNAcentral describes it as "partial 16S ribosomal RNA". It matches the Rfam family "Bacterial small subunit ribosomal RNA", at positions 29 to 523 of the family's 1533-position model. The record is from RNAcentral.
AGUGAACGCUGGCGGUAGGCCUAACACAUGCAAGUCGAACGGCAGCACAGGAGAGCUUGCUCUCUGGGUGGCGAGUGGCGGACGGGUGAGGAAUACAUCGGAAUCUACUCUGUCGUGGGGGAUAACGUAGGGAAACUUACGCUAAUACCGCAUACGACCUACGGGUGAAAGCAGGGGACCUUCUGGCCUUGCGCGAUUGAAUGAGCCGAUGUCGGAUUAGCUAGUUGGCGGGGUAAAGGCCCACCAAGGCGACGAUCCGUAGCUGGUCUGAGAGGAUGAUCAGCCACACUGGAACUGAGACACGGUCCAGACUCCUACGGGAGGCAGCAGUGGGGAAUAUUGGACAAUGGGCGCAAGCCUGAUCCAGCCAUACCGCGUGGGUGAAGAAGGCCUUCGGGUUGUAAAGCCCUUUUGUUGGGAAAGAAAUCCAGCUGGCUAAUACCCGGUUGGGUUGACGGUACCCAAAGAAUAAGCACCGGCUAACUUCGUGCCAGCAGCCGCGGUAA